GCUACAGUCAGAGCUACAGUUAGAGCUACAGUUAGAGCUACAGUCAGAGCUACAGUUAGAGCUACAGUUAGAGCUACAGUCAGAGCUACAGUUAGAGCUACAGUUAGAGCUACAGUCAGAGCUACAGUUAGAGCUACAGUUAGAGCUACAGUUAGAGCCAGAUUGAUGCCAGUUCUGAGAACUGUGCAAAAUCCAAAUCCCUGAAUGGAAUUGAUAUCCCGAAAGAACGGGGCUCGAAAGCACAGAGCUAACCUAGCUAACCUAGGAAUGUCAUUAAUUAUGUUGCAAAUGCUUGUUAUUUCAUGUUUUAGACACAGCUACGACAUCCACAUCACAGCGACCGUAGACCAGUCCGGGUUUAGAUCGGGGAACCUCCUGGACCUUAAAAACCCUUUCUUUAGAAUGCCGACCUGGCUCCAUGGCUAGAAGGUCCAUAAUGGACCACCUCAGCAGAUCCCACCUUCUACAUCUAGAAUCCACCAAGACAAAAUGUACCCCUGUUCCAUAAACAUUAUAAUGCUGUAUUAACACAUUGGUGGAAUAGCAUUGUUUUCAAAAUAAAGCACAACUAAGGAUUUUUAUCCGAUUUCAAUUAUUGUUCCCCUUAGCUGAUUGUAUUUGACUCACAUGUUGCAGUUAAAAUAAAGAACAAUAAAUUAUUAUAUCCAA
Molecule: long non-coding RNA, 669 nt
Organism: Gadus macrocephalus (Pacific cod)
Lineage: Eukaryota; Metazoa; Chordata; Actinopteri; Gadiformes; Gadidae
Exons: 2
Source: RefSeq, a predicted model, not a curated record